UGGGGAAUUUUGGACAAUGGGCGAAAGCCUGAUCCAGCAAUGCCGCGUGUGCGAAGAAGGCCUUCGGGUUGUAAAGCACUUUUGUCCGGAAAGAAAUCCUUGGCUCUAAUACAGUCGGGGGAUGACGGUACCGGAAGAAUAAGCACCGGCUAACUACGUGCCAGCAGCCGCGGUAAUACGUAGGGUGCAAGCGUUAAUCGGAAUUACUGGGCGUAAAGCGUGCGCAGGCGGUUUGCUAAGACCGAUGUGAAAUCCCCGGGCUCAACCUGGGAACUGCAUUGGUGACUGGCAGGCUAGAGUAUGGCAGAGGGGGGUAGAAUUCCACGUGUAGCAGUGAAAUGCGUAGAGAUGUGGAGGAAUACCGAUGGCGAAGGCAGCCCCCUGGGCCAAUACUGACGCUCAUGCACGAAAGCGUGGGGAGCAAACAGGAUUAGAUACCCUGGUAGUCCACGCCCUAAACGAUGUCAACUAGUUGUUGGGGAUUCAUUUCCUUAGUAACGUAGCUAACGCGUGAAGUUGACCGCCUGGGGAGUACGGUCGCAAGAUUAAAACUUAAAGGAAUUGACGGGGUCAUAGCUGUUUCCU
RNAcentral lists this ribosomal RNA (585 nucleotides) under uncultured bacterium. Its description in RNAcentral is "partial 16S ribosomal RNA". It matches the Rfam family "Bacterial small subunit ribosomal RNA", at positions 355 to 1375 of the family's 1533-position model. The record is from RNAcentral.